UGGGGAAUAUUGCACAAUGGGCGCAAGCCUGAUGCAGCCAUGCCGCGUGUAUGAAGAAGGCCUUCGGGUUGUAAAGUACUUUCAGCGGGGAGGAAGGUGUUGAGGUUAAUAACCUCAGCAAUUGACGUUACCCGCAGAAGAAGCACCGGCUAACUCCGUGCCAGCAGCCGCGGUAAUACGGAGGGUGCAAGCGUUAAUCGUAAUUACUGGGCGUAAAGCGCACGCAGGCGGUCUGUCAAGUCGGAUGUGAAAUCCCCGGGCUCAACCUGGGAACUGCAUUCGAAACUGGCAGGCUAGAGUCUUGUAGAGGGGGGUAGAAUUCCAGGUGUAGCGGUGAAAUGCGUAGAGAUCUGGAGGAAUACCGGUGGCGAAGGCGGCCCCCUGGACAAAGACUGACGCUCAGGUGCGAAAGCGUGGGGAGCAAACA
This 427-nucleotide ribosomal RNA is filed under the name uncultured bacterium. RNAcentral describes it as "partial 16S ribosomal RNA". It matches the Rfam family "Bacterial small subunit ribosomal RNA", at positions 355 to 774 of the family's 1533-position model. The record is from RNAcentral.